Molecule: transfer RNA, 77 nt
Filed under: Candidatus Cloacimonadota bacterium
Lineage: Bacteria; Pseudomonadati; Candidatus Cloacimonadota
Description: tRNA-Met
Rfam family: tRNA
About the family: Transfer RNA (tRNA) molecules are approximately 80 nucleotides in length. Their secondary structure includes four short double-helical elements and three loops (D, anti-codon, and T loops).
Source: RNAcentral
UGCGAGGUGGAGCAGUAUGGUAGCUCGUCGGGCUCAUAACCCGAAGGUCGGAGGUUCAAAUCCUCCCCUCGCUACCA